GGCGAACAGGUGAGUAACACGUGAGUAACCUGCCCUUGACUUUGGGAUAACUUCAGGAAACUGGGGCUAAUAUCGGAUAGGAGCUCCUGCUGCAUGGUGGGGGUUGGAAAGUUUCGGCGGUUGGGGAUGGACUCGCGGCUUAUCAGCUUGUUGGUGGGGUAGUGGCUUACCAAGGCUUUGACGGGUAGCCGGCCUGAGAGGGUGACCGGCCACAUUGGGACUGAGAUACGGCCCAG
This 236-nucleotide ribosomal RNA is filed under the name uncultured Actinomycetales bacterium. RNAcentral's name for it is "partial 16S ribosomal RNA". It matches the Rfam family "Bacterial small subunit ribosomal RNA", at positions 97 to 334 of the family's 1533-position model. The record is from RNAcentral. Lineage: Bacteria; Bacillati; Actinomycetota; Actinomycetes; Actinomycetales.